Columba livia (rock pigeon) is the source of this 212-nucleotide long non-coding RNA. RefSeq lists it as uncharacterized. The transcript is spliced from 2 exons. The record is from RefSeq and is a predicted model, not a curated record. Lineage: Eukaryota; Metazoa; Chordata; Aves; Columbiformes; Columbidae.
CGUGCUGUGUCUUUGCGGGGCCGUGUCUGAUUGCAGCCGACACGAGUGUCGCGUGACUGAGGCUUUUGCUGAGCAUGUUUGGUCCUGCAUGGCCAGGCUUAAUGUCUUGAAGUCCACACAAAUGACUGCUCUAUUUAUGCAGCAGCCGAUGAGAAUGUAACCAGCAGCGCAUGUUAACACGGGGUCAUGCAAAAGGGAACCACGAUACCAAA